Molecule: ribosomal RNA, 253 nt
Filed under: uncultured bacterium
Lineage: Bacteria
Description: partial 16S ribosomal RNA
Rfam family: Bacterial small subunit ribosomal RNA
Source: RNAcentral
GACAGAGGGGGCAAGCGUUGCUCGGAAUCACUGGGCGUAAAGGGCGCGUAGGCGGGAUGGCAAGUCGGUCGUGAAAUCCUUCGGCUCAACCGAAGAACGUCGGCCGAUACUGCCGUUCUUGAGGGAUGCAGAGGAGAUUGGAAUUCCCGGUGUAGCGGUGAAAUGUGUAGAGAUCGGGAGGAACACCGGUGGCGAAGGCGGUUCUCUGGGACGGUACUGACGCUGAGACGCGAAAGCGUGGGGAGCGAACAGG